This 373-nucleotide transfer-messenger RNA is filed under the name Microbacteriaceae bacterium. It matches the Rfam family "transfer-messenger RNA". Rfam says of the family: Bacterial tmRNA, also known as 10Sa RNA or SsrA, is named for its dual tRNA and mRNA-like properties. Lineage: Bacteria; Bacillati; Actinomycetota; Actinomycetes; Micrococcales; Microbacteriaceae. The record is from RNAcentral.
GGGGAUGAUCGGUUUCGACAUCGCCUGCGAAACUGCGAGAAGCGGGCCGAGGAUGCAGGGUUAUCUCGUUAACGAUCUCUGCAAAAACAAUAAGUGCCGAUGCAAAGCGCACUGACUUCGCCCUCGCUGCCUAAGCGAGCCCGAUAGUCCGUCAGACCGUGUGUGUUCCCGACACGGACCCUGGCGUCAUCUAGGGGACUUGCUGCGUGAUGACGCCUGGAGCGUCACGCGGGACUUGUACUCCGGCUGGGCCCGUCGACUUGGAUGCCUGUGGCAAAGGUCGGGGCCGAGCAGAACGCUCUUACAGGCUACGCCCGUAGAAGGCGCAGAAUCACAGCGGUGGACGGGGGUUCAAUUCCCCCCAUCUCCACCA